AAGGACAUGAAGCAUAGAUAUUCCUUAAAGAAUUCUCAUCAAGUUAAUGCCCACAAAAGUAUCAGCUGGCUAAAGAAUGAAAACAUUGUGAAUUUCAAAAACAACACAUCGAUGCCCUGUCCUUAAAACAGAUUACAAUGAUCUACUUUUUCUUCUAAUGUACCCUGGGGGAUCUUUAGGUAAGAGAGCAAGAAAGAGAGAAAGAUCACCUGGAAAACAAGAAAGAGAAUAAGGCUUGCAUCCAAGUGUAUAUGUCUCUAAAGUCUAUGCCUUAUCCAUCCUGCCAAGCGGCCUCCAAGAACAAAUGUGUGAAUCAGGCAAGAUGAAAAUAACAGAAAUUAGAAACAAAAGGUGAUUGCUCUUACUUGGAAACUUUCCUGGCAUUUUGUAGAAAAUGAAAACGUAAGAAGAAUGCUCUUUGCAGAGAGUUUCACAAGCCUGGCCCCCAGUUCAUAAUCUGUGGCAGAAGGCAGGUGCACCCUGAUUCCGGAGUCGUUUAUCAACGUAGCCAAUCAAAACAUAGGCCCCAGGGCCACAACCCUGAUGCGCUUCAUGCCUCCAGUCAAAUCCUCCAUCACUGGAAACUCCAACACCAUUGUCAGAAAACAAACAAAUAAACACACAUGCCAAUAUGAGAGAAUGCUGAGGAAAAUGUUUCACACAAGAAAGAAACAGAAAUGGAAAGGACUAUUCCAAAAUAAAAUGUGUAAUUUGAUGUUAAUAACACUUCAUUGCUCUCUGAUUAAAGAUCUUCAUCCAGA
Hyaena hyaena (striped hyena) is the source of this 761-nucleotide long non-coding RNA. RefSeq lists it as uncharacterized. The transcript is spliced from 3 exons. NCBI's taxonomy places the organism in Eukaryota, Metazoa, Chordata, Mammalia, Carnivora, Hyaenidae. The record is from RefSeq and is a predicted model, not a curated record.